Molecule: transfer RNA, 74 nt
Filed under: Marmota monax (woodchuck)
Lineage: Eukaryota; Metazoa; Chordata; Mammalia; Rodentia; Sciuridae
Description: tRNA.Ala
Source: RNAcentral
GCUGGGGAUAUACCUCAGUGGCAGAGUGCUUGCCCAGCAUGCAUGAGGCCCUGGGUUCCACCCCCAGCACAGGG